GUAGGGAAUAUUGCACAAUGGGCGAAAGCCUGAUGCAGCAACGCCGCGUGCGCGAUGAAGGCCUUCGGGUCGUAAAGCGCUUUUCGGGGAGAUGAGGAAGGACAGUAUCCCCAGAAUAAGGAUCGGCUAACUACGUGCCAGCAGCCGCGGUAAAACGUAGGAUCCGAGCGUUAUCCGAAUUCACUGGGCGUAAAGCGCGUGCAGGCGGUUGCGUAAGUUGGAUGUGAAAUCUCCUGGCUCAACUGGGAGAGGCCGUUCAAUACUGCGUGACUAGAGGACGGUAGAGGGAGGUGGAAUUCCGGGUGUAGUGGUGAAAUGCGUAGAUAUCCGGAGGAACACCAGAGGCGAAGGCGGCCUCCUGGGCCGUACCUGACGCUUAGAUGCGAAAGCCAGGGGAGCGAACGGGAUUAGAAACCCCAGUAGUCC
RNAcentral lists this ribosomal RNA (426 nucleotides) under uncultured bacterium. Its description in RNAcentral is "bacterial SSU rRNA". It matches the Rfam family "Bacterial small subunit ribosomal RNA", at positions 354 to 796 of the family's 1533-position model. The record is from RNAcentral.